CGGGUGCGGAACACGUACAGAACCUUCCUUUAAGCGGGGGAUAGCCCAUAGAAAUGUGGAUUAAUACCCCAUAGUAAUAUUAACUGGCAUCAGUUGGUAUUUAAAGAUUUAUCACUUAAAGAUGGCUGUGCGGCUGAUUAGGUAGUUGGUGUGGGUAACGGCCCACCAAGCCAUCGAUCAGUAACUGGUGUGAGAGCACGACCAGUCACACGGGCACUGAGACACGGGCCCG
RNAcentral lists this ribosomal RNA (232 nucleotides) under uncultured bacterium. RNAcentral describes it as "partial 16S ribosomal RNA". It matches the Rfam family "Bacterial small subunit ribosomal RNA", at positions 103 to 334 of the family's 1533-position model. The record is from RNAcentral.